RNAcentral lists this ribosomal RNA (499 nucleotides) under uncultured bacterium. RNAcentral's name for it is "bacterial SSU rRNA". It matches the Rfam family "Bacterial small subunit ribosomal RNA", at positions 29 to 510 of the family's 1533-position model. The record is from RNAcentral.
AGCGAACGUUAGCGGCGGGCUUAACACAUGCAAGUCGAGCGAGAAAGGUAGCAAUACCCUGUAAAGCGGCGGACGGGUGAGGAACACGUAGGUAAUUUUCCGUUCAGCGGGGGACAACGUUUCGAAAGGAACGCUAAUACCGCAUACGUUCACUGGGACUUCGGUCUUGGUGAGGAAAGCUAGGUAGCAAUAUCCGGCACUGAAUGAGAAGCCUGCGUCGCAUCAGCUAGUUGGUGGGGUAAUGGCCUACCAAGGCUAAGACGCGUAGCUGGUCUGAGAGGAUGAUCAGCCACACUGGGACUGAGACACGGCCCAGACUCCUACGGGAGGCAGCAGUGGGGAAUAUUGGACAAUGGGCGAAAGCCUGAUCCAGCCACGCCGCGUGAGUGAUGAAGGCCUUCGGGUCGUAAAGCUCUGUGGGAGAGACGAACCGCCAGGGGUUAAUAGCCGCUUGGCAUGACGGUAUCUCCUUAGCAAGCACCGGCCUAACUUCGUGCCC